CUCCUUUUUCUAAUCAGUGAAACUAAUCUUCCCGUGAAGAAGCGGGAAUAUCCCCAUAAGACGAGAAGACCCCAUGGAGCUUCAAACCCAAUUACACCCCUAACCCCUAUAACUACUUAACCCUUAGGAUUCUGUAUUAUUGGUUUUAGGUUGGGGCGACCACGGAGUACAACAAAACCUCCACAAUGAACGGAACUACUUCCUCAUCUGAGAGCUACACCUCUAAGAAUUAAAAUAUUAACAUAAAAUGAUCCAUUUUUGAUCAAUGAACCAAGUUACCCUGGGGAUAACAGCGCAAUCCAUUUCAAGAGCCCCUAUCGACAAAUGGG
RNAcentral lists this ribosomal RNA (329 nucleotides) under Mantidactylus katae. RNAcentral describes it as "partial 16S ribosomal RNA". It matches the Rfam family "Bacterial large subunit ribosomal RNA", at positions 2020 to 2516 of the family's 2925-position model. Lineage: Eukaryota; Metazoa; Chordata; Amphibia; Anura; Mantellidae. The record is from RNAcentral.